GCUUAGAGUUUGAUCCUGGCUCAGGAUGAACGCUGGCGGCGUGCUUAACACAUGCAAGUCGAACGGUCUCUUCGGAGAUAGUGGCGGACGGGUGAGUAACGCGUGAGAAUCUGCCUUUAGGUUCGGGACAACAGUUGGAAACGACUGCUAAUACCGAAUGUGUCGCAAGAUGAAAGAUUUAUUGCCUAAAGAUGAGCUCGCGUCUGAUUAGCUAGUUGGUGGGGUAAAAGCGUACCAAGGCGACGAUCAGUAGCUGGUCUGAGAGGAUGAUCAGCCACACUGGGACUGAGACACGGCCCAGACUCCUACGGGAGGCAGCAGUGGGGAAUUUUCCGCAAUGGGCGAAAGCCUGACGGAGCAACGCCGCGUGAGGGAGGAAGGCUUUUGGGUUGUAAACCUCUUUUAUCAAGGAAGAUAAUGACGGUACUUGAUGAAUCAGCAUCGGCUAACUCCGUGCCAGCAGCCGCGGUAAUACGGAGGAUGCAAGCGUUAUCCGGAAUAAUUGGGCGUAAAGCGUUCGUAGGUGGUUUUGCAAGUCUGCUGUUAAAGCGUGUAGCUUAACUACAUAAUGGCGGUGGAAACUGCAAAACUAGAGUGCGUUCGGGGCAGAGGGAAUUCCUGGUGUAGCGGUGAAAUGC
RNAcentral lists this ribosomal RNA (638 nucleotides) under uncultured cyanobacterium. Its description in RNAcentral is "bacterial SSU rRNA". It matches the Rfam family "Bacterial small subunit ribosomal RNA", at positions 1 to 689 of the family's 1533-position model. Lineage: Bacteria; Bacillati; Cyanobacteriota. The record is from RNAcentral.